GUGCUGGCUUCGGCAGCACAUAUACUAAAAUUGGAACGAUACAGAGAAGAUUAGCCUGGGCCCUGCGCAAGGAUGACACACAAAUUCGUGAAGCAUUCCAUUUUUUC
Molecule: small nuclear RNA, 107 nt
Organism: Otolemur garnettii (small-eared galago)
Lineage: Eukaryota; Metazoa; Chordata; Mammalia; Primates; Galagidae
Source: Ensembl